CCUGGUGGCUCAGAUGGUAAAGCAUCUGCCUGCAAUGUGGGAGACCAGGGUUCAAUCCCUGGGUCAGGA
Molecule: transfer RNA, 69 nt
Filed under: Bos taurus (domestic cattle)
Lineage: Eukaryota; Metazoa; Chordata; Mammalia; Artiodactyla; Bovidae
Also listed under: 3 other names
Rfam family: tRNA
About the family: Transfer RNA (tRNA) molecules are approximately 80 nucleotides in length.
Source: Rfam by way of RNAcentral